GCCUUAGUAGUAUAAAAAUUACAUUGGUUUUGUAAACCAAAAAAGGAGCAUUACCUCUCCCUAAGACA
RNAcentral lists this transfer RNA (68 nucleotides) under Hoplomys gymnurus (armored rat). RNAcentral describes it as "tRNA-Thr". Lineage: Eukaryota; Metazoa; Chordata; Mammalia; Rodentia; Echimyidae. The record is from RNAcentral.